Molecule: long non-coding RNA, 170 nt
Organism: Telopea speciosissima
Lineage: Eukaryota; Viridiplantae; Streptophyta; Magnoliopsida; Proteales; Proteaceae
Exons: 3
Source: RefSeq, a predicted model, not a curated record
CCAACCAUUAAAAAGGAAAUCGGUGAAAUUGGUGUGACUAUCUUGACCGCAAAAACUCAAGAAGACAUCAUAUUUCCACCGACAGGAGGCAGAAGAGGUUCCAUAGGUCAUCUCGACAGCCAUGGACAAAUCACAAGAUCAGAUGAAUGAUGAUUUUUUACUACCCCAAG